This 465-nucleotide ribosomal RNA is filed under the name uncultured bacterium. RNAcentral's name for it is "partial 16S ribosomal RNA". It matches the Rfam family "Bacterial small subunit ribosomal RNA", at positions 28 to 507 of the family's 1533-position model. The record is from RNAcentral.
GACGAACGCUGGCGGCGUGCUUAACACAUGCAAGUCGAACGGAAAGGCCCCUUUUGGGGUACUCGAGUGGCGAACGGGUGAGUAACACGUGAGUAACCUUCCCUUGUCUUCGGGAUAACUUCAGGUAACUGGGGCUAAUACCGGAUAGGAAUCCUUGCUGCAUGGUGGGGGUUGUUAAGCUUCGGCGGUUUUGGAUGUACUCGCGUCUUAUCAGCUUGUUGGUGGGGUAGUGGCUUACCAAGGCUUUGACCGGUAUCCGGCCUGGGAGGGCGACCGGCCAAAUUGGGACUGAGAUACGGCACAGAGACGUACGGGAGGAAGAAGUGGGGAAGAUUGAACAAUGGGCGGAAGCCUGAUGAAGCAAGGCCGCGGGCGGGAUGACGGCCUUAGGGUUGUAAAACGCUAUCAGCAGGGGAGAAGCUUGUGGUGACGGUACCUGCAGAAGAAGCACCGGCUAACUACGUG